AGUGAACGCUGGCGGUAGGCCUAACACAUGCAAGUCGAACGGCAGCACAGUAAGAGCUUGCUCUUACGGGUGGCGAGUGGCGGACGGGUGAGGAAUACAUCGGAAUCUACUUUUUCGUGGGGGAUAACGUAGGGAAACUUACGCUAAUACCGCAUACGACCUACGGGUGAAAGCAGGGGAUCUUCGGACCUUGCGCGAUUGAAUGAGCCGAUGUCGGAUUAGCUAGUUGGCGGGGUAAAGGCCCACCAAGGCGACGAUCCGUAGCUGGUCUGAGAGGGUGACAGGCGACAUGGGGACGGAGCUACGGCGCAGACUGCUACGGGGGGCAGCGGUGGGGAAUAUUGCACAAUGGGCGGAAGCAUGACGCAGAAACGCAGCGGGCGGGAUGACGGCCGGCGGGGUAAAAACCGCUGGCGCCUGGGACGAAGCGGGAGGGACGGUAAUGGGUAAAGAAGCACCGGCUAACUACGUG
This 472-nucleotide ribosomal RNA is filed under the name uncultured bacterium. RNAcentral describes it as "partial 16S ribosomal RNA". It matches the Rfam family "Bacterial small subunit ribosomal RNA", at positions 30 to 507 of the family's 1533-position model. The record is from RNAcentral.